AGGCGCGAAAACUUUACAAUGCGGGAAACCGUGAUAAGGGAACUCCGAGUGCCCGUAAAAUCGGGCUGUCCAUCUGUUUAAAUAACAGGUGAAGAAAGGGCCGGGCAAGACCGGUGCCAGCCGCCGCGGUAAUACCGGCGGCUCGAGUGGUGGCCACUAUUACUGGGCUUAAAGCGUUCGUAGCUGGUCUGUUAAGUCUCUGGGGAAAUCUACUGGCUUAACCAAUAGGCGUCUCAGGGAUACUGGCAGACUAGGGACCGGGAGAGGUGAGAGGUACUCCAGGGGUAGGAGUGAAAUCCUGUAAUCCUUGGGGGACCACCUGUGGCGAAGGCGUCUCACCAGAACGGCUCCGACAGUGAGGGACGAAAGCUGGGGGAGCAAACCGGAUUAGAUACCCGGGUAGUCCCAGCUGUAAACGAUGCGCGUUAGGUGUAUCGGUGACCACGAGUCACCGAGGUGCCGAAGAGAAAUCGUGAAACGUGCCGCCUGGGAAGUACGGUCGCAAGGCUGAAACUUAAAGGAAUUGGCGGGGGAGCACCACAACAGGUGGAGCCUGCGGUUUAAUCGGACUCAACGCCGGAAAUCUCACCGGAUAAGACAGCUGGAUGAUAGUCGGGCUGAAGACUCUACUUGACUAGCUGAGAGGAGGUGCAUGGCCGUCGUCAGUUCGUACUGUGAAGCAUA
RNAcentral lists this ribosomal RNA (684 nucleotides) under uncultured archaeon. RNAcentral's name for it is "bacterial SSU rRNA". It matches the Rfam family "Archaeal small subunit ribosomal RNA", at positions 337 to 1025 of the family's 1478-position model. The record is from RNAcentral.